GAGUUUGAUCCUGGCUCAGGACGAACGCUGGCGGCGUGCUUAACACAUGCAAGUGGUGCGACGAACCAGGGCUUGCCCUGGGGCAAAGCCGCGAACGGGUGAGUAACACGUGAGUAACCUGCCCCGAUGACCGGGACAACCCGAGGAAACUCGGGCUAAUACCGGAUGUGGCGCACAGGCGUAAGCCUGUUCGCUAAAGGAAGCUUCGGCCUCCGCAUUGGGAGGGGCUCGCGGCCCAUUAGCUUGUUGGUGGGGUAACGGCCUACCAAGGCAACGAUGGGUAGCUGGGUCUGAGAGGACGAUCAGCCACACUGGGACUGAGACACGGCCCAGACUCCUACGGGAGGCAGCAGUGGGGAAUAUUGGACAAUGGGCGCAAGCCUGAUCCAGCCAUGCCGCGUGGAUGAUGAAGGCCCUAGGGUUGUAAAGUCCUUUCGGCGGGGAAGAUAAUGACGGUACCCGCA
Molecule: ribosomal RNA, 464 nt
Filed under: uncultured Actinomycetes bacterium
Lineage: Bacteria; Bacillati; Actinomycetota; Actinomycetes
Description: bacterial SSU rRNA
Rfam family: Bacterial small subunit ribosomal RNA
Source: RNAcentral